Molecule: ribosomal RNA, 274 nt
Filed under: uncultured bacterium
Lineage: Bacteria
Description: partial 16S ribosomal RNA
Rfam family: Bacterial small subunit ribosomal RNA
Source: RNAcentral
AUACGAAAGGGGCAAGCGUUGUUCGGAUUUACUGGGCGUAAAGAGAUCGUAGGUGGUUUAUCAAGUCGGAUGUGAAAUCCCGGGGCUCAACCCCGGAACUGCAUUCGAUACUGGUAGACUUGAGUUCGGGAGGGGGAUGCGGAAUUCCGCGUGUAGCAGUGAAAUGCGUAGAUAUGCGGAGGAACACCAGAGGCGAAGGCGGCAUCCUGGACCGAUACUGACACUGAGGAUCGAAAGCGUGGGUAGCAAACAGGAUUAGAAACCCGGGUAGUCC